GACGAAGGGGGCUAGCGUUGUCCGGAAUCAUUGGGCGUAAAGAGCGCGUAGGCGGCCCGAUAAGUCCGCUGUGAAAGUCAAGGGCUCAACCCUUGAAUGCCGGUGGAUACUGUCGGGCUAGAGUACGGAAGAGGCGAGUGGAAUUCCUGGUGUAGCGGUGAAAUGCGCAGAUAUCAGGAAGAACACCAAUGGCGAAGGCAGCUCUCUGGGACGGUACUGACGCUGAGACGCGAAAGCGUGGGGAGCGAACAGG
RNAcentral lists this ribosomal RNA (253 nucleotides) under uncultured bacterium. RNAcentral describes it as "partial 16S ribosomal RNA". It matches the Rfam family "Bacterial small subunit ribosomal RNA", at positions 524 to 776 of the family's 1533-position model. The record is from RNAcentral.